GACGAAGGGGGCUAGCGUUGUUCGGAAUUACUGGGCGUAAAGCGUGUGUAGGUGGUUGUCCUAGUCAGGUGUGAAAGCCUUGAGCUCAACUCAAGAAAUGCACUUGAUACUGGGCAACUAGAGGACCGGAGAGGAUAGUGGAAUUCCCAGUGUAGUGGUGAAAUACGUAGAGAUUGGGAAGAACACCAGUGGCGAAGGCGGCUAUCUGGACGGUUUCUGACACUAAGACACGAAAGCGUGGGGAGCAAACAGG
This 253-nucleotide ribosomal RNA is filed under the name uncultured bacterium. RNAcentral describes it as "partial 16S ribosomal RNA". It matches the Rfam family "Bacterial small subunit ribosomal RNA", at positions 524 to 776 of the family's 1533-position model. The record is from RNAcentral.